UAGGGAAUCUUCGGCAAUGGACGAAAGUCUGACCGAGCAACGCCGCGUGAGUGAAGAAGGUUUUCGGAUCGUAAAACUCUGUUGUUAGAGAAGAACAAGGACGUUAGUAACUGAACGUCCCCUGACGGUAUCUAACCAGAAAGCCACGGCUAACUACGUGCCAGCAGCCGCGGUAAUACGUAGGUGGCAAGCGUUGUCCGGAUUUAUUGGGCGUAAAGCGAGCGCAGGCGGUUUCUUAAGUCUGAUGUGAAAGCCCCCGGCUCAACCGGGGAGGGUCAUUGGAAGCUGGGAGACUUGAGUGCAGAAGAGGAGGGUGGAAUUCCAUGUGUAGCGGUGAGAUGCGUAGAUAUAUGGGGGAACACCGGUGGCGAAGGCGGCUCUCUGGUCUGUAACUGACGCUGAGGCUCGGAAGCGUGGGGAGCAAACAGG
Molecule: ribosomal RNA, 429 nt
Filed under: Gemmatimonadota bacterium
Lineage: Bacteria; Pseudomonadati; Gemmatimonadota
Description: Gemmatimonadetes bacterium partial 16S ribosomal RNA
Rfam family: Bacterial small subunit ribosomal RNA
Source: RNAcentral